This 3699-nucleotide long non-coding RNA is filed under the name Homo sapiens (human). Its description in RNAcentral is "HSALNT0109867". The record is from RNAcentral. Lineage: Eukaryota; Metazoa; Chordata; Mammalia; Primates; Hominidae.
GAGUAGACUGUUCUUGAAACAACUGAAAAGAAAACCUCUUUAGCAGUUGGGAAGAAACGUGAUUAACCAUGUGGCAGCAAAUGGACAUUUUCAAAAGAGGUCCUAAAUCCAGGGCCCCUGCUUUGCUCAGCUCCAGAGCACCCAUUCACAUAGAAUUACAGUGACUGCUGCUUCCUGGAGGCCUGUGCACAGAAGGCGCUGCUGAGAUCUGGAUUUGCGCUUGGGGCUCCUGAACAAAUGUGGCCUCCAUUCAGCCUUGCAGGCCAAUUUUCAGGUUUGACCCCUGGCACACACUGACCCCAGGUGAAGACAGAGCAGACUCUGUAGUCUGCCAAAGGAUGAACUCUGAUCUAAGCUCUCUGAAGCAGUCCUGGCCUCUGGAUAAAUGACCUCUUCAAUUAGGCUUCUUUACGUUUCAUGUAGAUGAAGAGAUUUUGGCUCAUUUCCCCACUUCUGCCUUUGCUCAAUGUGAAAACACAUUGUAAAAUAUAAUCAUUUGAGGGUGAUUCUAACAGUUCUAACUGACUGGCUGUUCUGGAAGAUAAAAAUAAUACGAUUUUAAAGGAACCUUAACUUUUGAAAGUGAAGUGAGUACCACAUGCUGCAAAGGAGAAUAUUGAUUUAAUGGCCACACAUAAUCCUGUAAAUUUAGUCAUGAAACAGACACUAAUUUUAAAGAAUAGUGGUACUAUUAAAAUAUACCUCUGCACAGCUGUAGGACAAACAGAUUUGAUUCCCCUCAGGGGAAACUGAGAGGUCCAAGUGGUCUUUGCCAGUCUGUGAACUUGCAGUGUGUGUCAGUGACAGUUUGAGUACUGCGGGCUAUAGGACUUGCAUUCCUAAGCAAGUUCUCUAGGCUUCCACAGAAAUAAGCGAUAAAAAUUGCCCUUCUGUGUUUUGAGUUAACUUCCUUUAGAUCUCAUUGAGCCAAGAGCCAAAUCCACCAUGAGUAAAAGUGUUGAGCAUUGUCAGAGAGCUGUACUAAUGGACAAAGGCUGACUUUAAAGGUCAUAAAGUAUUUCUCUCACAUGGGUGAUGAAUAGCAGUUUGGAAUUUCCUUGGCUCUGUUAUACUGUGUGCUGAGGUGGUGGUAAUGUUUAUCAGGGAAGCCUGUCUUGGCUUAUUGGACUAAAUGAGAGGCUAAGAAGGGAAUGCUGUCCUAUGUCAGGGCGUUAUAGGAUAGACAUUUUCUAGCUAAGAUCUCCAGGGAAAAGUUUGAGGGAUCACGAGAGAUGGAUGAAUCAUGAGGAAGGGGAUCUACAUAUUUCUGACCAGCUCAGAGUAAGAGUGAGAUAGACAAGAGGAAUGCAGAAAUGGUACCACAAAGACAAAUGCUCCUAGAAGCCAAACGGAACAGGCAAGGAAGAGGAAUUCAGACUCUUUUGGGGGGUCUUCUUGCUUCACUACAUACAAAUCACCAAUUGCUGGAACUUCAUGGAGAAUUAGAAAGGUUUCUUCAUCCCAGUCAAUUCUGUGUCAUCAAUAAAUAUGGUUACAUUGAUAAAUAAGGUUAACCUGAAAGUCCAACUAACAUUUUCUUUAAAUAUAUUUUGGAGCAGAUCUUGAAAUCUCCUUAGGUAGACUGUUAUAGUGUUGAUUCAUCUUUACUUUGUGGAUCUCUUUACCUUAGGUUGUACAAAUCCUUCAAAUUUAAGUCCAUAUUUUUCUGGUUCCAUUUUCCACAGAGAUGGAGAUCCGGUUAGGUGUCUUGUCUCCUUGUGGUAAUACAAGCACCAAUUAAAUCACAGUUUUAAAAGGCAGAACAAUUUGAGAUUCUUAUUUCUUUUGUGCAUCUAGUUUCUAAUCUUGUUAAUGCCUUUUUUUCUUUGUGACCUUCUUAAAUAUUUGUAAGCUUUUUUUAAAAAAAUUCUUUUUUAAUAACAUGUUUGACUGCUUACUUGUUAUGUGUCAGGCAGUGUUCUAAGCACUUCACAUGUCAUUACAUGCUUUACCAAAUUAGUAGAUGUGCAUUAUUGAAGCCUCAUGGGUUUCUAAAAAAUUAAUCAUUUUGCAUAAAGAUUCUGACAUUUCUCUCAAGCAAACAGAAAUAAUUUUUUCUGGUCAUUAUUUCUUGUUUUCCUACCUUGUAGGGGCUCUCUGGAAAUUGAUUUUCGAUUUGCACCAGUUGUUUUAAUAUUCUAGUGUUUUCCAAUUCUGUCAGUAUUAGUAGCUUCGAUGAAUACUGCAAUUUACCCUGACAUUCAGGAAAGCUCAAUAUGCUAAUUAAAAGAUGCUGAUCAGGAGAUGUUAAAUUUCUGUUAGGAUCCAGUUAAAUAUAACACAAAGAUUUCUGACAGAGAAGAAAUGGAUGAUAACAAAUAUAGAAGCAGGUGGCAGAAACUGUUUAAAAGAUCACUAGAUGUCAUUCUGGAAGAUAAGGCAAAAUAAGAAUAUGUGCUAAAACAGAACAGUUUAACCCUUGAUAAUUAUUGGAAAACUUCGUGCCUAACACAGGGCUGUGUUCAUUCAUCUGGCCAUUCAAGGAAUAACUAUGCUCAUGCAUGUGGUCCCUGUAUUGAAGCUCAGGCACAGUGAUUGAGAUGUCGUUCUUUUUCUUGAGGGACAAGCUGACAAAGAGCAGAAGGAUGUAGGCAGCGCUCACCUCAUCCCUGCAUUUCAUAAGUUGUGAGAAUGGCAAGUCUUGCACACUCCUAAUAUGCCAGUUAGGGGCAUUUUGCUUGGGAUGCUGUAAUUGAGAAAAAAAGAGGAGUGUGCUUAGAGGAAGGUAAUUUUUCCUAUGGGCGUCCGUGAUGACAGCGGGUGUGAAGAAUCCUAGUGACUGCGGGAAAGAGUGACUGCUGCUGUGAACCAGGACAUGCAGAAAGUUCUGCCAAUGCCUCAGGAGGCUAAGAAAGGCCCCUCUCCCAGUCUGGAGCAGGUCUGAAUUGGAGAGCCAAGAGGGUGCACAGUGCUAAGGGAGGGGACAGAAUCUAGUCCUGGGGGGUUCUUGGGUCCCUGUGAUCUGAAGUGGAGGAGGUGAUGCUCACUGCGGGCAGAGGCUCUCAUGCUCCCUCCACAUGCAAAGUUCAGGGUUCCUUGCUGCUUUCGUUUAAUAAAACCUCUCUCUACAACCUUUUCUUAAUGGUCUCACUGGGAUGAUUCUGAAGAGAGAAUUUAUCAGGUCAGGCAGCAACCUUAACCUCUCCAAAUCCAGCAACGUCAGUUCUUCUGCGACAGGAAACUUGGGCAAUAAGGACCAUGAAAAUAUCCAGUAAAUUACCACGAUGCUGUCAGUGCUGAUACUGUUAAAUUUUGAGUAGGAAUUUCACAAAUUGACCUUUACUGCACUAUAUAAAAUCAUAUAACAUAACAUAGUAUAAUAUAACAUCCCUGUGAAGUUCUUGUCAAUAAAUGAUAACCACAAGAUUAAAAGGUGGAAAACCCUUAUUUUCUUAGGGAUAUCAAAGUACGUAUAAGAUUUAGGCAUCCUAUUUAGUCUCAGGUGUAAGACAAUUCUGGUCUGUCUCUCCCUUUCUCUCUGCAAUUGUUUUUCUGAGCACACUUGACUGAAUGCCCUUGAUAACUUAGCAGUAGCCACCUAUCAUGUGCCUCUUAUGAUGUGUUGGACAUUUUGCAUGUAUUAUUACAGCCAAUACUCACAGAAACUCUGCCAAGGUAGGUAUUAUUAUGUCUCAUUUACACAUUGAAAGUUGAAAUCAUUUGGAGAGAUUUGUUCCAGAGGCAGAGUGGAGGUUCAAG